This 301-nucleotide ribosomal RNA is filed under the name uncultured bacterium. Its description in RNAcentral is "partial 16S ribosomal RNA". It matches the Rfam family "Bacterial small subunit ribosomal RNA", at positions 509 to 807 of the family's 1533-position model. The record is from RNAcentral.
CAGUAGCCGCGGGAAUACAGAGGGUGCAAGCGUUAAUCGGAAUUACUGGGCGUAAAGCGCGCGUAGGUGGUUUGUUAAGUUGGAUGUGAAAUCCCCGGGCUCAACCUGGGAACUGCAUCCAAAACUGGCAGGCUAGAGUAGGGCAGAGGGUGGUGGAAUUUCCUGUGUAGCGGUGAAAUGCGUAGAUAUAGGAAGGAACACCAGUGGCGAAGGCGACCACCUGGGCUCAUACUGACACUGAGGUGCGAAAGCGUGGGGAGCAAACAGGAUUAGAUACCCGCGUAGUCCCUGUCUCUUAUAC